RNAcentral lists this ribosomal RNA (301 nucleotides) under uncultured bacterium. RNAcentral describes it as "partial 16S ribosomal RNA". It matches the Rfam family "Bacterial small subunit ribosomal RNA", at positions 509 to 807 of the family's 1533-position model. The record is from RNAcentral.
CAGUCGCCGCGGUAAGACAGAGGAUGCAAGCGUUAUCCAGAAUGAUUGGGUGUAAAGCGUCUGUAGGUGGCUUUUCAAGCCCGCCGUCAAAUCCUAGGGCUCAACCCUGGACAGGCAGUGGAAACUACCAAGCUGGAGUACGGUAGGGGUAGAGGGAAUUUCCGGUGGAGUGGUAAAAUGCGUUGAGAUCGGAAAGAACACCAACGGCGAAAGCACUCUGCUGGGCCGACACUGACACUGAGAGACGAAAGCUAGGGGAGCAAAUGGGAUUAGAUACCCGUGUAGUCCCUGUCUCUUAUAC